This 125-nucleotide small RNA is filed under the name Marmota monax (woodchuck). Lineage: Eukaryota; Metazoa; Chordata; Mammalia; Rodentia; Sciuridae. The record is from RNAcentral.
GCCAAGUGUGGUGUCGCGUGCCUGUAAUCCCAGCAGCUCAGGAGGCUGAGGCAGGAGGAUCAUGAGUUCAAAGCCAGCCUCAGCAAAAGCGAGAUGCUAAGCAACUCAGGGAGACCCUGUCUCUA